Molecule: long non-coding RNA, 2629 nt
Organism: Anas platyrhynchos (mallard)
Lineage: Eukaryota; Metazoa; Chordata; Aves; Anseriformes; Anatidae
Source: RefSeq, a predicted model, not a curated record
GCCCGGUGCGGCCCCUCACCCCCACAACGCCUCGCCGUGAGGGGAGCGAGCCGCGACCCCCCCCACACACACUCACACACCGCCCCCCGCCGCCUCACCGUCUCCUCGGGGUCGAUGUCGAUGCGGAAGGUCUGCUGCUGCAGCGUCUUCAGCGUGAUCUGCAUGGCGGCGGCGGGCCGCCCGGCAGCCGAGCCGAGCCGAGCCGAGCCGAGCCGAGCCUUCCCCCUCCUCCUCCUCCUCCUCCCCUGGCGGAGGAGCGGCGUGAGGCGGCGCUAACGGCUGCGAGCGGCGGUUGAACGCCGUUGGGGCGGGGGGGGGAUAGGGGGGGUAACGGUAACCGGGGGGCGGGGGGCGCCGCGGCCGAGGCGGGAGGGAGGGAGGGAGGGAGGGAGCGGGGCGGAGUGCGCCUGCGCAGUGUGUUGCUGGGAAGAUCGGGGGGGAGGGAGCGGGGAGGGCGUUGCGCGUGCGCAGUUGGCCCGGCUGGGUGGUGCCGGGGUUUGCCCGCCGCGGGUGGCGCAUGCGCGGUGGGUGGCGGCGGUUGGCGGCGGCGGUUGGCGUGAGGAGAACGGGCGGCGUCGUGUGCGUGAGGGGGCGGUGGAGGAUGGCGCCUGCUCCCUGGGCUGCGCUGUCCUCAGAAGAGCGGGCUGGGUCUUCUCUCCGCAGGUGUUACUGCCGCUGUUUGUGAGGUGUUAGUGAGGCUUUCCAGAAGUUUCCGUCGUCUUGUCAGCGUUAGCCCCCCACCUUAACUUCGUCCCCGCGCGCGCAGACCCCCAGCCCGGGCAGUGAAGAGAACCCAGCCACAAGGAAUGCUUAAAGUUGAGGCAGCUACACAGGCUUUCCUGUGGUCAUAUCAGUGUCACUUUGCUGCUCCUGGAUAUGAGGUUUGCCAAGAAAGGCUGUGUGGGAUCUAGCAGUUGAAUUCCAGGCUGCAUACCACUUGAUGCCCAAAGCAUUUUAAAGCAAGUAUCGUCUUUCUGGCUUGUAACAACCACAGCUAGUGGCUGUGGAAGUUUAUCCCACCAGUAUCAGUGCGCAGAAGAGACUAUUGACUGGACAUCAAAAUUAAACUCUGUGCAUCUUUGUAUGCAGAAAGACUACUUGUCGAUAAAGAGAGGGAGGCUUUGAAUUCUACAUUCUUCAAGAAAGUUUAUGUGGAAGUAAAUGAAACCUUUUAACCAUUAAUAGUUUAUUUAAUCAGUAUUUUCUUUUGGAGCACUAGGCAAUUGAAAGGGAAGGAAAUAAGAAUGAUUUGGACAUGACAAAUGCCAGUGUGUGUCUCUGAGGACAGUUAGCUGAUGGCUGAGGCUGUUAGGAGGAAGGGUUAUUCUCGCUGUAGGGAGGUUUUACAGCGCUUCAGAGUACAGACUCUUUGCCAGCUAUUUUAGUAUUUAGACUUACUUUCAACUUCUGUCCUGUCUUUGUCCCUGUCUGUGCUGUAUUAACAAGCACAAAUGGAAGCCAGAAGCUGCGUGUUGGCCUUCCGUAGUUCAGCAGAGCUGCUGUGAAAAGGCUAGACAUCUGAAUGCUUCCAAAACAAGACCAAUUAUUGCAUGAGACAUUAGAAUGCCAAAUAAUGUGUAUACACAAAUAAUGUGUACACAAAUAAUGCAGCCCAUUGCUAUUUCUGCAGUCAGACAAUAUCACAGUAAGGGUCUUCCCCGCUUCAGGGCUGGACUAAGCAGUUGUGGAAUGGCUUGCACUACAAAAAGCUCCUAGGGAAAUGACAUCAGAAAUUGGCACCAAUUAAUCUAGAGUGUUGAUUCCAAGAAUAAUAUUUAUCUGAAAAAUACUGAAUCAAAUCAUGCAGGUCUAACUGGGCCUACUAUGAAUAAAUUAGACAGUUUAUUUUUGUAUGAGUCAUUAAUCAUAUUACAGUCAUCACUGUGGUUAUCUGAAAGUAUUUUAAUUUAAUCAAAAUACAGUUAAAACUCAUUUAAACAAAUUUGGCUUUAAUUGUCCUGCCUCACACACAGAUUAAUCUUUUCUAGCAUGGUGUGAAGAAUUAGACACCAACAUAGAUAUUUUUUCGUACAUAUCUGACUAUGGAUUUAUGCAUUUGUUGGUUUUGAGCAUGCACUUUACAGCAGUUUGCUUCUAUCCUUACUUUAGGAUAAAAGAGAACAGUAUGCCAUGCUCUGUGGCUUCCGUGACAGUGUGCAUAGCUCGUACAGGCCACCUGCUGUGGUGUAACGUAACUGCUGCAGUGCAUUGCUUUCCUGGCAUAUGCAUAACCUAACAGCUGGAGGGUGUGAGCCCUCUGGAUUCAUCAGGAAAUGGCUUUUAUGUGCACCUACUCAGUACAUUUCAAGCCAUUUGUAAAAUAAUGCUAACUCCUAGGUCACAGAGACCACACCAUCACUGCUGUUUGCAGGGGCAUGUGUGGUUUCACUUCUGAACUUCUGAUCAGAGUGCGGUCAAGAACAAAUUCAGACCCUAAUGCACUGAGCUUUGUUCAGCCAGGAUUUGAAAACCUCCAAGGACAGAGACCCCACAGCCUCUCUGACUCCUGCUACUGUGCUUAAUUAUUCCCACAGUCAUUUUUUCUUCUUUCUGUCUAUGCUGAACCACUCUAGUUGCAGGCAAUGUCACUGUCUCUUGCCCUCCUAACAGGCACUGCUGGGAAGAGCCC